Molecule: long non-coding RNA, 572 nt
Organism: Vicia villosa (hairy vetch)
Lineage: Eukaryota; Viridiplantae; Streptophyta; Magnoliopsida; Fabales; Fabaceae
Exons: 3
Source: RefSeq, a predicted model, not a curated record
CAUACCUUGGAUACUUUCAAAGGACAUCUUCAUAUAGAUCUUAAACAUGUUCGUGUCCUGACUCCAAUACCUGAAGGUCUGGAUUAAGGCAAUCUUUUCGACUGACUUAUCUUUUCUUUAUUGAUAUACUGAUUUCAGUCUCAACUACAGCUGUUGCACGAAGGAGGAAGAUUAAGGAAGCUUCUGCCCCAAAAGACUCUGGGACAUCUAAAAGCAAUAAACCAAGUGGGAGUGACUCCCUCGUCACUGAUAAGAAGCCCACGAGUUCGAAACCCCCAACGGGUUCGAAGCGUAAAGCUUCUUCGACCACUGGUUCGGAUGGCGAAGAUAAAUCCCCUCCUCAAACUAGACAAGGACAGAAGAAAAAACACAAAGCUGUUACCCCUUCAAGAAAAGGGAAAAAGGCAAGUCCUUCCAAAGCUGUUUCUCCUGGUGAUAAAGCGUCCUCUGAAGAGUCUCCUUUGAAAGCUGCUAGUAAUGCUUUCGUUGUGGAAAGCCAUAAUUCAAGUCCAGACAAUAUUCCACCCAAGGAUGAUGCUGGCACUGCUACUUCCGGUUUUAAAGACCCUGGC